Molecule: long non-coding RNA, 850 nt
Organism: Pistacia vera
Lineage: Eukaryota; Viridiplantae; Streptophyta; Magnoliopsida; Sapindales; Anacardiaceae
Exons: 3
Source: RefSeq, a predicted model, not a curated record
UUCUUCAUGACCCAGGCACUCAAGCUAUGAUGCAAUCUUGCCCCCUCCACCGGAGCUCUCCAUUGUAAAGCACCUCAUAAAUUUUGAUGAAUUGCUUGAAGAAUAAAUAAAUGUCAGCAGUUGGUGUACUAAACAAGCGUGGCAUGUUUAAUAAUGAGGAUUCAGAAAGCCAGUGUAAGGAAAAUGGUGAACAUUUGAUACAUUCUUUCUUCUUACCGGGCUCACUGGUUCCAGUGUUCUGCGCUUGCUAAUUGCAUGGAUUUAUAUAUUUUCAGCUUAUUUUCAUUCUCCUUAGUCAUUGGGAAUUCAGGUAAUUAAUCAUUUCUUUAGCAAGAAAAUUAUUUAUGAGUUAAAAUGGUAUACCAUUUUGUGAAGCAAGUACAUUAAUUUGUGUUAUCUUUUACUAUUUGUGAUAAAUUUUUAAUUUCCUAUGUAUCUUGGCUAAAGGCGGAGGAAUUUAAAACGGUAUCAAAAUUGGAAAUUAAAGACAAUUAAUGAAAUGAAGGAUUGGAAGAAGGUAUAUUUAUAUCAAUCAAACUUCUAUGGAUAAUUGGAUAUAACCUUUCUUCUUCCAUUUUGUGCUUGAAUUAUAGAAUUGUAAAUUUUUGCUGUCAAUAUGUUCAUUUUGAUUCAUUUUCAUUGUCGCCUGGUGGACUUAACAAGAGAUGAUAUAGCAAAGGCGAUAUGGUAUCAAAUGAUUCAACACAAUCAGGUGUUCUCGUGGACAUAGAAAACUUCAAACUGUUUGGCUGCAAGCAAGGCAUUGUGGCGGUUUGUAAACAUUUACUCUAUCAGUUCCAUUAUUGAAAGCAUAAAAGCAAGUGGCACUUAACUAUGAUCUGUUGCCAAG